UACGGCCAUAUCUCGUUGAAACAUUGGUUCCCGUACGAUUACCCAAGUUAAGCAAUAUCAAGCCUGGUCAGUACCCAGAUGGGUGAUCGUUUGGGAAAACCAGGGGCUGCAAG
Molecule: non-coding RNA, 113 nt
Organism: Acanthosepion pharaonis
Lineage: Eukaryota; Metazoa; Mollusca; Cephalopoda; Sepiida; Sepiidae
Source: the annotation of a GenBank genome assembly